This is a non-coding RNA of Podarcis lilfordi (Lilford's wall lizard), 67 nucleotides long. The record is from the annotation of a GenBank genome assembly. NCBI's taxonomy places the organism in Eukaryota, Metazoa, Chordata, Lepidosauria, Squamata, Lacertidae.
ACAGCUCAUUUGGUAGAGCAUGAAACUCUUGAUCUCAGGGUCAUGGGUUCAAGCCCCAAGUUGGGCA